RNAcentral lists this ribosomal RNA (368 nucleotides) under uncultured organism. Its description in RNAcentral is "bacterial SSU rRNA". It matches the Rfam family "Bacterial small subunit ribosomal RNA", at positions 526 to 896 of the family's 1533-position model. The record is from RNAcentral.
CGGAGGGUGCAAGCGUUAUCCGGAUUCACUGGGUUUAAAGGGAGCGUAGGUGGGUUGGUAAGUCAGUGGUGAAAUCCCCGAGCUUAACUUGGGAACUGCCAUUGAUACUAUCAGUCUUGAAUACCGUGGAGGUCAGCGGAAUAUGUCAUGUAGCGGUGAAAUGCUUAGAUAUGACAUAGAACACCAAUUGCGAAGGCAGCUGGCUACACGAAUAUUGACACUGAGGCUCGAAAGCGUGGGGAUCAAACUGGAUUAGAUACCCUGGUAGUCCACGCCCUAAACUAUGGAUACUCGACAUACGCGAUACACUGUGUGUGUCUGAGCGAAAGCAUUAAGUAUCCCACCUGGGAAGUACGAUCGCAAGAUUG